GUGCUCUUGGGAUUGUAACAGGCACAGGCAGCACCCUUCUACAGAAGUAAAAGUGACUUGCUGAGAAAUUUUCUAAGUGCGGGUUUCUUUUCGCUACACCGAGCACUUGUUUCCAACACAUGCAAACCAGAAUGGAGGUCUCCCUGGACCUGGGUUUGGGCCACAAGCUUGCAAGACCUUGGGCAAGACUGUUCCCUCUUCUGAACCAAGUCCUUCCCUGGCCCAGCCGCUUGUGAGUAACACAUCAGUUUCAUGCUUACACCUCCUGGUCUUGUGAGUAACACAUCGGUUUCAUGCUUACACCUCCUGGUCUGACCGGGCUCUCCUUUGCAGAGCCUUUUAUUCCUUCCCUUCCUCUGAACACUGGCUGGCUGCUUUCAGGGAAGAAGUUCAAGGCAGUGGCAGGGAGCUCCUUGCACAUCGCCAUGACAAAUGUUUUAUGGAAACAGUGAGCUGAUGGGACGAGGGGUCGGGGCUAGAAAGUCAGCCAAAAGGUGUGAGAACCCGGACUAGCCCCCAGCCCUGAACAUGGCAGGCCACUGUGCCAUGGUAGGGGAGUGAAAGUUUCCCUCUGCUCCUCUUAGGGUUCCAGCUGGGGCUCCUUACAAAAGAGAAAAACAGUUCAUUAAUGCAUGUAGUGCACCUCACUGAAGAAGCUUCAACAAAAAGCAACUCAGAACAGUGACUUAGAACUGGGUUAUGGAGCAACUUCAACAAAGAAUAAUCAACGUGUGGGGAAAUGACAGGACCCAGGAGAGCGGUUUUAGGCUUCCAAGUUUGGGAAACCGGCAAGGUGAGUAUUGGGAGGAAAC
This 812-nucleotide long non-coding RNA is filed under the name Homo sapiens (human). RNAcentral describes it as "HSALNT0355279". Lineage: Eukaryota; Metazoa; Chordata; Mammalia; Primates; Hominidae. The record is from RNAcentral.